RNAcentral lists this ribosomal RNA (1676 nucleotides) under termite gut metagenome. RNAcentral's name for it is "bacterial LSU rRNA". It matches the Rfam family "Bacterial large subunit ribosomal RNA", at positions 515 to 2211 of the family's 2925-position model. The record is from RNAcentral.
UUCCUCAUGGAACGAGUAAAAGAAAGUUUGAGUUAUUAAGUGGUCGGGUGACGGCGUGCCUUUUGUAGAAUGAGCCUGCGAGUUAUGGUAUGCAGCGAGGCUAAGGGAUGGGAGUUCCGGAGCCGGAGGGAAACCGAGUCUGAACAGGGCGUUCAGUUGCAUGCCAUAGACCCGAAGCCAAGUGAUCUAGCCAUAGGCAGGCUGAAGCCCGGGUGAAACCGGGUGGAGGGCCGAACCCUAGUCUGUUAAAAAAGGCAGGGAUGACCCGUGGCUCGGAGCGAAAGACUAAACAAACUUGGAAAUAGCUGGCUCUCCCCGAAAUGCCUUGAGGGACAGCCUCGUCAAAACCUUGCGCAGGUAGAGCACUGGAUGGACUAGGGGGCCUCACCGCCUACCAAACCCAAUCAAACUGCGAAUGGCGCAAGACAACUGACGGGAGUGAGACUGCGGGCGACAAGGUCCGUAGUCGAGAGGGAAACAGCCCUGACCGCCGGCUAAGGUCCCGGAUAGCAUGCUGAGUGUGAAAUGAUGUGCCCUGGCGAAGACAGCCAGGAGGUUGGCUUAGAAGCAGCCAUUCCUUGAAAGAGUGCGUAACAGCUCACUGGUCGAGUCACGGCGCGCAGAUAAUGUAACGGGGCUAAGCAUGCAACCGAAGCCGCGGAUUUCGCGAGCAAUCGCGAGAUGGUAGGGGAGCAUUCCGCGAACCGAAGAAGGCGUAUUGUAAGGUAUGCUGGAGGAAGCGGAAGAGAGAAUGCAGGUAUAAGUAGACGAAAAGAGGGGUGGGAUCCCCCUCCGCCGGAAGCCAAGGUUUCCUGGGUAAAGGCAAUCUUCCCAGGGUAAGUCGGCCCCUAAGGCGAGGGCGAAAGCCGUAGUCGAUGGGAAACCGGUUCAUAUUCCGGUACCGUUCCUGAUUUCAAGGGAUGACGCGUGAGGUGAAACCCGGCCGGGCGACGGUUGUCCCGGUCGAAGCCGCAAGCUAAUGGGGGCGGAGGAAACGCCUUCAGGCGAGUGGUGACAGCGAGCCUGACUACGGGAAGGCGAAGCGGGCGUAAUCAAGGCGCCGAGAAACAAUCCCCUCUGGCUAAGGUCAGGAAGACCGUACCGCAAACCGACACAGGUGGGCGGGAUGAGAAAUCUAAGGCGCACGAGAGAACUCGCGUUAAGGAACUCGGCAAAAUGCGCACGUAACUUCGGGAGAAGUGCGGCCGGCUUUGGUUUUAGCAAUAGGGUUAAAGCCGGCGUCACAAAGCAGUCCCAGGCGACUGUUUACCAAAAACACAGGCCUCCGCAAAUCAGCAAUGAGAAGUAUGGGGGCUGACACCUGCCCGGUGCCGGAAGGUUAAGGGGAGCGGUUAGGCGCAAGUCGAAGCUGUGAACCGAAGCCCCGGUAAACGGCGGCCGUAACUAUAACGGUCCUAAGGUAGCGAAAUUCCUUGUCGGGUAAGUUCCGACCCGCACGAAAGGUGUAACGAUCUGGGAGCUGUCUCGACGCGAGACUCGGUGAAAUUUAAGUACCGGUCAAGAUGCCGGUUACCCGUGGUUAGACGGAAAGACCCCGUGAACCUUCACUGCAACUUAUCGUGGGGGCUUGGCUAGGCAUGUGUAGGAUAGGUGGGAGGCUGUGAGGCGUGGGCGUUAGCCUGCGCGGAGCCGACGGUGAAAUACCACCCUUUCCU